Exophiala bonariae is the source of this 72-nucleotide non-coding RNA. NCBI's taxonomy places the organism in Eukaryota, Fungi, Ascomycota, Eurotiomycetes, Chaetothyriales, Herpotrichiellaceae. The record is from the annotation of a RefSeq genome assembly.
GCGCAAUUGGUCUAGUGGUAUGAUUCUCGCUUAGGGUGCGAGAGGCCCCAGGUUCGAACCCUGGAUUGCGCC